RNAcentral lists this transfer RNA (90 nucleotides) under Planctomycetota bacterium. RNAcentral's name for it is "tRNA-Ser". It matches the Rfam family "tRNA". From Rfam's summary of the family: Transfer RNA (tRNA) molecules are approximately 80 nucleotides in length. Their secondary structure includes four short double-helical elements and three loops (D, anti-codon, and T loops). The record is from RNAcentral. Lineage: Bacteria; Pseudomonadati; Planctomycetota.
GGAGAGGUGCCGGAGCGGCUGAACGGGCCGGAUUCGAAAUCCGGUGAAGGGUCUUCCCUUCCGGGGGUUCGAAUCCCCCCCUCUCCGCCA